This 912-nucleotide ribosomal RNA is filed under the name uncultured bacterium. Its description in RNAcentral is "bacterial SSU rRNA". It matches the Rfam family "Bacterial small subunit ribosomal RNA", at positions 28 to 916 of the family's 1533-position model. The record is from RNAcentral.
GACUAACGCUGGCGGCGUGUCUUAGCCAUGCAAGUCGAACGGACCAAGGCUUAGUAGCAAUACUUUUUUUUGGUUAGUGGCGAAUGGGUGAGUAACACGUGAAUAAUCUACCCCAAAGUGGCGGAUAACAGAUUGAAAGAUCUGCUAAUACACCAUAUGCUCACGACCCAUAAGGGUCGCGAGGAAAGGUAGCCUCUGCUUGCAAGCUAUCGCUUUGGGAUGAGUUCGCGUCCUAUCAGCUAGUUGGUGAGGUAAAGGCUCACCAAGGCGAUGACGGGUAGCCGGCCUGAGAGGGUGAACGGCCACACUGGAACUGAGACACGGUCCAGACUCCUACGGGAGGCAGCAGGCUAGAAAAUUGGGCAAUGGGCGCAAGCCUGACCCAGCGACGCCGCGUGAGGGAUGAAGGUCUUCGGAUUGUAAACCUCUGUUAGGAAGGAAAAUGGGGAUAGGUCCCAAUACGGCCUAUUUUUGAUGGUACUUCCAGAGAAAGCACCGGCUAACUCCGUGCCAGCAGCUGCGGUAACACGGGGGGUGCAAGCGUUGUCCGGAAUUACUGGGUGUAAAGGGGAUGUAGGCGGAUGAAUAAGUUAAACGUGAAAACUAAGGGCUUAACCUUUAGCCUGCGUUUAAUACUGUUCAUCUUGAGUUCGGAAGAGGAGAACGGAACUUCCAGUGUAGCAGUGGAAUGCGCAGAUAUUGGAAGGAACACCAGUGGCGAAGGCGGUUCUCUGGUACGUAACUGACGCUGAUCUCCGAAAGCUAGGGGAGCGAACAGGCUUAGAUACCCUGGUAGUCCUAGCCGUAAACGAUGGAUACUAGGCGUUUCCAUUAGGAAGUGCCGACGCUAACGCAUUAAGUAUCCCACCUGGGGAGUACGAUCGCAAGGUUGAAACUCAAAGGAAUUGACGG